Molecule: ribosomal RNA, 164 nt
Filed under: Gymnaconitum gymnandrum
Lineage: Eukaryota; Viridiplantae; Streptophyta; Magnoliopsida; Ranunculales; Ranunculaceae
Description: 5.8S ribosomal RNA
Rfam family: 5.8S ribosomal RNA
About the family: 5.8S ribosomal RNA (5.8S rRNA) is a component of the large subunit of the eukaryotic ribosome. It is transcribed by RNA polymerase I as part of the 45S precursor that also contains 18S and 28S rRNA.
Source: RNAcentral
UCGAACGACUCUCGGCAACGGAUAUCUCGGCUCUUGCAUCGAUGAAGAACGUAGCGAAAUGCGAUACUUGGUGUGAAUUGCAGAAUCCCGUGAACCAUCGAGUCUUUGAACGCAAGUUGCGCCCGAGGCCACUAGGCCGAGGGCACGUCUGCCUGGGCGUCACA